This 468-nucleotide ribosomal RNA is filed under the name uncultured bacterium. RNAcentral describes it as "partial 16S ribosomal RNA". It matches the Rfam family "Bacterial small subunit ribosomal RNA", at positions 28 to 507 of the family's 1533-position model. The record is from RNAcentral.
GAUGAACGCUGGCGGCGUGCUUAACACAUGCAAGUCGAACGGAAAGGCCCUGCUCUUGUGGGGUUCUUGAUUGGCGAACGGGUGAGUAUCACGUGUGUAACCUGCCCCUGACUUUGGGAUAACUUCAGGAAACUGGGGCUAAUACCGGGUAGGAUCUCCUGCUCCACGGUGGGCGUUGGAGAGUUUCGGCGGUUGGGGAUGGACUCGCGGGUUAUGGGCUAGUUGGUGGGGUAGUGGCUUCCCAAGGCUUUGAGGGAUAGCCGGCCUGGGAGGGGUGACGGCGACAUUAGGCCUGAGGGAGGGACCAGACUCCUACGGGAGGCAGCAGUGGAGAAUAUUACACAGUAAGCGGGCGCCUGUUGCGACGGCGCCGGGUGCGGGAUGCCGGCCUUCGGGUUAUGAACCGAUGUCGAAUGAGACGAAGCGUGAGUGACGGUACUGGGUAAAGAAGCACCGGCUAACUACGUG